Molecule: non-coding RNA, 172 nt
Filed under: Paraburkholderia bryophila
Lineage: Bacteria; Pseudomonadati; Pseudomonadota; Betaproteobacteria; Burkholderiales; Burkholderiaceae
Source: RNAcentral
ACGAGGGCGACCGGAUGUGGGGAGGAAGCGUGGAGCGUAAAUCGCGAGCCGAUGAACAAGAACUGCAUAGAAGGCGCUGCCGGGCAGGGCGAGCAGGCAAAUCACUGCGAAGCUCUUGUGACCAGGGCAAGGUGGCGUAGAUGCAGCGGUUGUGCGAUGAAGGAGUGCGUUC